This 98-nucleotide ribosomal RNA is filed under the name Peribacillus simplex. RNAcentral describes it as "Bacillus simplex 23S rRNA. Bacterial LSU". It matches the Rfam family "Bacterial large subunit ribosomal RNA", at positions 2828 to 2925 of the family's 2925-position model. The record is from RNAcentral. Lineage: Bacteria; Bacillati; Bacillota; Bacilli; Caryophanales; Bacillaceae.
GUAAGAUCCCUGAAAGAUGAUCAGGUUGAUAGGUCAGAGGUGGAAGCAUGGUGACAUGUGGAGCUGACUGAUACUAAUAGAUCGAGGACUUAACCUAC